This 1162-nucleotide long non-coding RNA is filed under the name Macaca mulatta (Rhesus monkey). RNAcentral describes it as "lncRNA (ENSMMUG00000055391.1)". Lineage: Eukaryota; Metazoa; Chordata; Mammalia; Primates; Cercopithecidae. The record is from RNAcentral.
GGUGUUUCUAUGGGGCUGAUCCCGGGUCAGGGACUACAUUCCUCCCCGGCCUUGUGACCUCUCAUCUCCUUCAUCCAGUUGGGCCGAUUCUGCAGGCAAAGCCGGAGCCCGUGUCCGUGGACGUGGGGGAAGACGCCUCCUUCAGCUGUGCCUGGCGCGGGAACCCGCUUCCACGGGUAAUCUGGACCCGCCGCGGUGGCGCGCAGGUGCAGCCCUAAAUCUGAGGCGGUGGCUGGCGGGGGACCAGGCUUCCUUGCAAAUCCGGCUUCUGACGCCCCUUCCCCGUCGCAGGUGCUGGGCUCUGGAGCCACAUUGCGCCUUCCGUCGGUGGGACCAGAGGACGCAGGCGACUAUGUGUGCAGGGCUGAGCCUGGGCUCUCUGGCCAGGGUGGCGGCGCCGCGGAGGCUCCGCUGACUGAACGCCUCAGCCUCUUUCUCCGGGCAAAAGAACCUGAUGCGAAUCCCCGGCAGCAGCGACGGCUGCAGUUCGCGAGGCCCUUAAGAAGAGGAGACAGGCAGCCGCGAGGACCGGGGCCCCAUUGUGCACACUGACCACAGUGAUCUGGUUCUGGAGGAGGAAGGGACUCUGGAGACCAAGGUGAGUGUUGGGAGGGGUGGGGCUCCCUUCACUGUUGGGAGAGGCGGGGCUCCCUUCACUGUGUUUCCAUCUCUCUCCCAUGCCUGUCUCCUCCUUUUUCCUUCUGUUGUCCUCAGAACUGGGACUCAGCUCCUCACCCCACUCCUCCUGCCCCCUGGACCAUCUCACCUAGCUCCCAGCCUCAGUUUGCCUACCUGCAGAGUCUGCCCACACAUCUGUCCCAGCCCCAGAUGGGGGUCACUAUGCCUGUGCUCUCCUCAUCACAGUCAAGCCCCCUUUCAGCCCCUUUAUACUGGCCCCAUAUCUCCCCAAACCUGUCCUUCCUCUGGGAUCCUACCUCAGGACAGCCACAUUGAUUCCAGGCCAUCCCCAGGCCACAGCACUUCUCUCUCUCCUCUGUACCUAGCACAUGCCAUUCUCUUUCUCUCUCUUCUUUUUUUUUUGAGACAGAGUCUCACUCUGUUGCCCCUGCUGGAGUGCAGUGGUGCAAUCUCGGCUCACUGCAACCUCUGCCUCCUGGGUUCAAGCCAUUCUCCUGCCUCAGGCUCCCGAAUAGCUGGCUAA